CUCUCUUUCCAUCCCAAGUGGCACGACUGCAGCAUUGGUUGGGCACAGUGGAAGUGGGAAAUCAACAGUAAUCAGCCUGAUAGAGAGAUUUUAUGAUCCAAAAUCUGGUGAAAUUCUUAUAGAUGGCAUUAACCUCAAAGAAUUUCAACUUAAAUGGAUUAGAGGAAAAAUUGGUCUUGUCAGCCAGGAACCGGUGUUGUUUUCUUCUAGCAUCAAGGACAAUAUUGCAUAUGGGAAGGAUGGUGCUACUAUUGAAGAGAUAAGAGCUGCAGCUGAACUUGCCAAUGCUGCAAAAUUCAUUGAUAAACUACCUCAG
Molecule: unclassified non-coding RNA, 316 nt
Filed under: Hevea brasiliensis (rubber tree)
Lineage: Eukaryota; Viridiplantae; Streptophyta; Magnoliopsida; Malpighiales; Euphorbiaceae
Source: RNAcentral